Molecule: long non-coding RNA, 3564 nt
Organism: Sapajus apella (tufted capuchin)
Lineage: Eukaryota; Metazoa; Chordata; Mammalia; Primates; Cebidae
Exons: 2
Source: RefSeq, a predicted model, not a curated record
CUGUUUCCUUCGGCCCUUGGUUUAAUGCUGUCCACUACCCAGGAGCAAAACUCUUUCCAUGGCAAGAAACAUCGAAUACCUGUAGUGGAUGGAGAUUCUGGGGUCCUAAAUUUAUGGCCGAUUGCACUGUCCUGGAGACAGAGUGGAACCACAGCCAGAGCCCCUGGGACUCACCGCUGAAAGACUGCAUCACUUCUCCGUGGAGUCCUCCUCCUUCUCCUUACUUUCUUUUUAGGUAAGGUUUAUCUUUUUAUUAAAUCAUAAAAUGAGCAUCAUCAUGUUGGCAGUAAAUGAAUUAUUAGGUAAAGUCCUUUCUAUAAAACUUGGCUUCUGUUCAUUCCCUCUCUGAGCCCAGUGGAACAAAAUGUCCAAAUUGAACCCUGCAAUCUUCCCACAGGUAUUCAUUCUGAUAUGCAGCUCCUUUAUUUUUUAGCCAUUCUUCCUUUGGUCUUGCAGACAGGGUUAGUGGCUUAUGUGUUAUUUUUCAGACCAAGUAUUAGAUCCAUUUAUAUGCCUGUCUUUGUGCUCAGACUCUGGCUCAAAGCCAUGAUAACGACUAAAGAAUAUGAAAAUGCUCAGAGAACAUGAACUUUUUGGCAAAGGAUAUAGGGAACUGUGUAGAUACCCGAUGACUUUGUCUGUGUCUAUGGAGGGAAUAGAACGAAUCAGAAAUAAGAGUCCCUUUUGGGCCUGCCCAAUUAUAUCAUUCUGAUCAAAGUCAGGAUCCCAUAAAAGGAGUAAAAUUAAUUUUCCAGUUUCAUUGAGAUCCCUUUGCUUUGCCCAAAUCAGCCUAAACGGCCUUAAGUGUCUGGAAUGGUGAGAUGACUCAAUCCCCAACUUUAUCGUAUUUAUUCAGCCUAAAUUCUGCUCAUAAAUCCACUAGUUCAAUAUUUUAUGCUAACGAAAACUAUUAACAUUUUGCAUUUUCUCCCAUUACAAAAGUUUUCAUACAGACCUCAACAUUUUGACUACAAGAUGUAAAAUUUUGAUAUUGGAUCCAAAGGAAGGUAGGGAAUUAGAUAGAUAGAUGAUAGAUAGAUAGAUAGAUAGAUAGAUAGAUAGAUAGAUAGAUAAAUGAUCGAUCUUGUCUCAAUACCAUCUUCAUUCAACUUGGUUUUUGGUUUACUGAGCUGUAUAAAUCAGCACUCAGCCACAUCACAGAGGGAUGGAGGGCCUUAGCCAUCAUGGCCUGAGAACCAUUGUCAGGAAGCAUUGGACUUAGCUUCGUGAACAUCAGAAUGUUUGCACCAGCUCUGACAGGAAGUUCACUGCGUGAUGGCAAAAGUUCCCUGAGUGAUGGUAGAAAGCUUGCAAAAUAGCUUCUGAAUUCAAGCAACCAAAGAGGCUGUUUCCCCUCCUUCUGUAAAGUGACACUGUUAGUAGAACACCAUCAGAUGGAGGAGGAGGGUGUGUGGGUGCUGGAUUCUGUGCAGCUAGAAAUCUGGUAGGUAGGUCCUGUUUAGUCUGUGCCAGAAGCCAAACAGGCCUCAGAAAGGGAGUUCAGGAGUCUUCUUAGCUCCUGGUGAUUUACUCUGACUUUCCUUUGUAAGCAUAUGGAUUCUAUUUUCUGCUGUCUCUAUAAAUACUGCUGUGACUGUCUCUGCCAAACCAGCUACCUUUCUCACCCCAGGGAGAAGCCAGGGAUCAGACAUUCCUAUGCUACCGCCCCAUUAGACACUGCUGUAACACGAGGGAGCAGAGCUGGCAGUCAAUAUGAUGUGUGUAUUUGAAUCUUUAAAGAGCUAGGCUAAACUUAGGGUCAGUGGACUACCAUAAAUAACCUGUGUUCCUCUCUCUUUGCGUGGUUUGCCCUGGAAUGCCUUGUGCUUUAGUGUUGUACAAGCAGCAAGAGAUCAAAGAGUCAACCUUUUAUGGAUGCAUAGUUCAUUACAAAGUCAUCCGUGGGAGGAGACCCUGGCAAAAGCACUAAUCAUUCUCUCCUGUGACUGUUUUGUUGCCUGAAUUGGGAUUGGAGGGCACUAAAAGAACUUGCAACCACUUUAAGUCAUUUAAAAGAAUAAAAUGAAGAUGGAAAUUCACUUUUAAAGGAGGGCCAAAACUUAACUGGCACCUUUUUUGGGUAUAGAAUGUGGUAGGAGGAAAUAGGAAGUAAAGGAGUUGACCCACUACCACAUGGAAUGCAGUUCGAGAAGAGUAAUAGCAGGCAGAACAGAAUCCUGUGUAAUUUACUUACCCUUGGGUAAGCAUUAAGAGAACCUUUGAUAAGCAGAGCAGAACAUCUACAGGAUUUUUUUUUUUAAGCCCAAACUAGAUAAUGUAUCUGAAAACCAGACUUGAAACUAGUUUGCUAGAAUAUAAAGAAUAAAUGUGUUUCAAAUUUUAACACUGACGAUAUUGCAAACCCAGGAUUGUGGAUAAUCACAAUGCUACCAAACAAUAGUUACUAUUUAUUCGAUGUCUGCUGCAUGCCACAUGCUGUGCAGUGUGUGUGAUAUCUUUUCAUCUCACAGCCGUGCACGGGGAUGAUGUGUUGGUAUCACCACAUAUACACAGGGAAACAGGACCCUGCGAAGUUGAAGUGCUUAGCUCAAGAUCACACGGUCACUAAGCGGUAAGGCCAGGAUUUGAACCGAGCUCUGGAAGGAAGUGGAAAUGACUAUCACUUAGCCUGUAGUUAAUAUUUUUGGCUGCUGACACUUUUUCUAGUCUCUGUUGCAGGAGUUGUUAGAACUCUUUUGUUUUCUGAGCUUGGGAGUUUUGCUCUAAAGACAUACUCUGUGAUUAAGACUUAUUUUGUCUGAGCUGACUGUGUAUCUGUAUGGGGUCUCUGUCCUUGUGGUUGGCCAUAGGCAGGCAGACUUAAUCACUGAUACUUACAAAACAUAUUGCAUAGCUAAGACCUUUGAUCUGGCAUUUUGGAAGUUAGGGACUGGAUAUCUUAUAAAAGAAUGUCUGUUGCAUGCUUGAUCAAUUACAGUGAUAGCUAAAGAAGCAUUUUCUCAAAUGUAUUAUUUUAACAGGAAUCAUGUUCUAGUUUCCCAUUCUUUAGGUGACUUUAAGUUUAAUAAAACCUGAACUGUAUGAACCUUUAAAAAAAAAUGACCGAGUAAAAUGCAAAAAAAAAAAUAGACAAUAAUUACAGUCAAUAAAGUCUCAAUGGCUCUGUAUCCCUCAGAGCUUCUGUUCUUAUCAUAGAUAAAGCCUGAAUCAGAGAGAUGUCACAAGAUCAAAUGACUAAGAUGACUGGAAAACUACAAUGCUCUGCAAAUGUUACCUUCUCUCUGUCCUCAGUGAUACUACCUUUUGUUCAACCCAUCUCUUCCUGCUGUUUUAAAAUAAAAAGGUUUUUAAAAGUCAGAAACAGAAGCAAAUAACUGAUCGAUUCUUUUUUUUAUUAACCAAUUUCAUAGCAAUUGAAAACAUCAUCCAAAAUACUGUAGAUCUUUCCCCCCUUCAAGUUUUCUUGAAAGAUUUCACACGUGCAGUGUAAGAAAUUGUGAGUCAGCCUUCUCCAAUCCUGACUUUAAGAGUUGCAAAAAUCAUCUGCCAGGGAUCACAUAUGUUCUUGGUUCCAUGAGAGGAAGAAAACACAUUUGCUGGAAG